Non-coding RNA from Gasterosteus aculeatus aculeatus (three-spined stickleback), 1135 nucleotides. NCBI's taxonomy places the organism in Eukaryota, Metazoa, Chordata, Actinopteri, Perciformes, Gasterosteidae. The record is from RefSeq and is a predicted model, not a curated record.
CCUUCGGUCUCCGAAACGCGCCCGCAACAUUUCAGCGGUUAAUGUCCACAGUCUUAGGGGGGGUCCCUAACUGUACUGUUUAUUUAGACGAUGUUGUCGUUUACUCGUCUACGUGGGAUGAACACAUGUUAACGUUGCAUAACGUGUUUGGCCGAUUGUCCGCUGCUUCCUUAACGUUGAAUCUCAAGAAAUGUGAAUUUGUAAAAGCUUCUGUAACGUAUCUAGGGAAGCAGGUGGGAAAUGGUCAAGUGCGACCACGGGACGGAAAGGUGGCUGCUGUGCUCAAUUACCCAACACCUACUACGAGGAGAGAACUACUGCACCGGUGCUGUCCGCCCCCGACCUGACUCGUCCGUUCCAGCUGGAGGUGGACGCCAGCGCGGUUGGAGUGGGAGCUGUCCUUCUGCAGGAGGGUGCUGACAACCUAGGCCACCCUGUAUCAUACUUCUCAGCUAAGUUCAACAGUCAUCAGUUGAAUUAUUCAACCAUUGAAAAAGAGACCUUAGCUCUGUUGCUAGCGUUACAACAGUUUAACGUCUACGUGGGGGCUAGUGCGUCUCCUGUCGUUGUUUAUACAGAUCAUAAUCCACUUGUUUUUCUGAGCAAAAUGUAUAACCAAAAUCAACGACUCAUGCGUUGGGCCUUAAUGGUUCAGCCGUACAAUCUUGAGAUCCGUCAUAAAAGAGGCUCUGACAACGUAGUUGCAGAUGCAUUGUCUCGCGGAUUAAUUUAGGAACAGGUUUUUCUGUAUGAAUCCAUGCAGAAUCAGUUUUUCUUUUUCCCUCUAAGGAAGGAGGAAAAGAGGAAGGAAAAAAAAUGAUUCUUCCUCUAGGGGGGGAAGUGUUACGGCCACAGCCUUCUGAGUUUGUUACUUUUGUAAUUAUUAAUUGGUUUGGCCUUUCUGAGUGCAGGCUCUGCCCCUGCGCACCUGAGAGCGGUUGCGGUGAUGGCUCAGGCUGAGCAUAUAGAGGGGAGAGCGACUGAGCGCCGGGGAAAAGGAGGAGACCUGCGAGAGCGCCAGGCCCGGCUGCAACACCAGGAGACCAGUGUUUUGUGUUCGAGCGACUAUUGUGUUAUGUUAAGGUGUAAAACGGAGAGGCUGGAGGUUGGAAAACUAUAAAAGAUCUUUGCAUCG